GCUCCAAUGGCGCAAUGGUAGCGCGCAAGACUUCUACAAAACUACUCCUAGUAGUAACGUGAUCUUGAGGUUGAGGGUUCGAGCCCCUCUUGGAGUG
This 97-nucleotide transfer RNA is filed under the name Pseudogymnoascus sp. VKM F-4518 (FW-2643). It matches the Rfam family "tRNA". Rfam says of the family: Transfer RNA (tRNA) molecules are approximately 80 nucleotides in length. Their secondary structure includes four short double-helical elements and three loops (D, anti-codon, and T loops). The record is from Rfam by way of RNAcentral. Lineage: Eukaryota; Fungi; Ascomycota; Leotiomycetes; Thelebolales; Thelebolaceae.